This 168-nucleotide non-coding RNA is filed under the name Opisthocomus hoazin. Its description in RNAcentral is "Eukaryotic small subunit ribosomal RNA". It matches the Rfam family "Eukaryotic small subunit ribosomal RNA", at positions 1165 to 1655 of the family's 1831-position model. Lineage: Eukaryota; Metazoa; Chordata; Aves; Opisthocomiformes; Opisthocomidae. The record is from Rfam by way of RNAcentral.
UACUGCAAGGAGUCUAAUUCAUAGGGCGUUUGAAUAAAAUGAAAUGUAAUGCAUCGCGCAUUAUACAUCACGUGAAUUUGUGAUGGGGAUUUGGGGUUGCAAUUAUUCCCCAUGAAUGCAGAAUUCCCAGUAAAUACGGGGCAUAAACUCGCUUUGAUUAAGUCCCUG